CAAAUAAUAGUUUAAAAAAAACAGUAACUUUGGAAGUUAAAAAUUAAAAUUAUGUUUUAUUAUUUGA
RNAcentral lists this transfer RNA (67 nucleotides) under Zygeupolia rubens. RNAcentral's name for it is "tRNA-Pro". The record is from RNAcentral. Lineage: Eukaryota; Metazoa; Nemertea; Pilidiophora; Heteronemertea; Lineidae.